AUUAGAUUUGUGCCAAUAGGAUCAAGAAAAACACUUUGGAGAGCAAACAAAUUUUAAGACAUUGAGAGAAAAAACAUUGGUUUCAAAAGAAAAACUUACGAUCUGAAUCAGAUUCUUAAAAUGAUCAAGAAAAACACUUUGACGGUCAAACAAAAAUUAAGAAAUUGACAGAACAAAAAUAUUGACUAAAGGAAAAAAACAUAUUUCAAAAGUAAAACUUACUAUCUGAAUCAACUUCUUAAAAUGAGUAACAAAGUAUGUUUCCUUUUUCUGUUUGCCUCUAUGUGUUUUUGUUAUCAAUUUCCUUAGUUUUGUUCUCGCUGCUCAGAGCUUUGCUCUCACUACCAGAUUUGCACUUACACUGUCUGGCUUUCUCCUUUGCAAUCCCUGAGUUUUUGGUUGCAAUUCUGACACAACCCUUUCGGGUGGGCGGGACUUCUGAGAAGUCCUCUCCCAUAGGACAGUGGUUUCUCUUGAGUGACAGUUCAGUGACCUGGAAGUGAUGUAGCCUCCAAGACAUUUUUUUCCCACCUGGUCAACAACAUGAAUUUUGAGCCCCAAACAGGUUAUUUCUGCUGUCUGUGGUGUCUACUGAGGAUCUAAAGAACCUGUGGAACAUCAGAGACUUUGCAGCUACUGGAGCUAACCUGUGUACUGCUAACUUGCUACAGAGGAAGCAGCAGAAAGCUGAGCUAACAGGCUGUUUUGCAGUGAAACGAAUGGAUUUUAUGAUGUAACUCUGACUGAAUAAUUAUCUAAAUUGAAAACUGCUGCAUUGCAUUACAAUGGAAGUGCUACACAGCCACAUGCAUCAACAGCAGCUGGUGAGCUAA
Non-coding RNA from Nothobranchius furzeri (turquoise killifish), 833 nucleotides. The record is from RefSeq and is a predicted model, not a curated record. NCBI's taxonomy places the organism in Eukaryota, Metazoa, Chordata, Actinopteri, Cyprinodontiformes, Nothobranchiidae.